Molecule: ribosomal RNA, 62 nt
Filed under: Candida albicans
Lineage: Eukaryota; Fungi; Ascomycota; Pichiomycetes; Serinales; Debaryomycetaceae
Description: partial 28S ribosomal RNA
Source: RNAcentral
UUUGACCUCAAAUCAGGUAGGACUACCCGCUGAACUUAAGCAUAUCAAUAAGCCGGGAGGAA